Molecule: ribosomal RNA, 253 nt
Filed under: uncultured prokaryote
Description: partial 16S ribosomal RNA
Rfam family: Bacterial small subunit ribosomal RNA
Source: RNAcentral
UACGAGGGGGGCGAGCGUUGUUCGGAAUUAUUGGGCGUAAAGGGUGCGUAGGCGGUUUGGUAAGUCUGAUGUGAAAUCUAUGGGCUCAACCUUGGAAUUGCUCUUAAAACUACAUAACUCGAAUUCGGGAGAGGAUAGCGGAAUUGUCAGUGUAGCAGUGAAAUGCGUAGAUAUUGACAGGAACACCAGUGGCGUAAGCGGCUAUCUGGACCGACAUUGACGCUGAGGCACGAAAGCGUGGGGAUCAAACAGG